CUACCGUGCCAGGCAGCCGCGGUAAUACGGAGGGUGCGAGCGUUAAUCGGAAUUACUGGGCGUAAAGCGCAUGCAGGCGGCCUGUUAAGUCAGAUGUGAAAGCCCGGGGCUUAACCUCGGAAUUGCAUUUGAAACUGGCAGGCUAGAGUCUUGUAGAGGGGGUAGAAUUUCAGGUGUAGCGGUGAAAUGCGUAGAGAUCUGAAGGAAUACCAGUGGCGAAGGCGGCCCCCUGGACAAAGACUGACGCUCAGAUGCGAAAGCGUGGGGAGCAAACAGGAUUAGAUACCCUGGUAG
This 294-nucleotide ribosomal RNA is filed under the name uncultured bacterium. RNAcentral's name for it is "partial 16S ribosomal RNA". It matches the Rfam family "Bacterial small subunit ribosomal RNA", at positions 501 to 793 of the family's 1533-position model. The record is from RNAcentral.